UCCUAACACCCACGGUCCUGCAGUGACGUGAAUAUGUGAGAAUAUCAACUUACUUUUUUUUAAAAAUGAAAGUUUCUAGCCCUCAGGGUUGUGGAGAAAAGCCUGACAAUGUGACGGGAGUGCACCAGAACGGUUCCAAAGCCAGAAGGGCUUGCAAAAAUGCUCCAACCUGACCCUGGUAGGAUUAACAGGAUAUCCUGCAAAUUACCGCCCUCCUGCUCCAGGCUGCCGAUUCUCACCCUCAUCAGCAUUAUCGCUUUCAGUCUUUCCGCAGUUUCUCUGUCACACCCACCUGAAUGGAGGAGUGAGGGGGAGACAGACAUGACUAAAACUCAACAGCGGUGGGCUGGAGUAUUUUCUGGGCUUGUCCAUCAGAGUCUGGACCUCCGGCAAAGAUCUCUAUACUAACCUACUUGUGACUCAGACACAUUGAAAGCAAGAAGGAGUAAUAUCUGAUUUUUCCCAGUGGGGUGGGAAACCACUUGGCUUGAAUGCCCUACCCUCCACAAGGCAGAAAAGAUUCCUGUCUAGGGGUAUGCCAGAAAGCUCUCUGUCUCAACGCACAUUAGUACAAGUAACAUUGCCACUUACCAUCUGUCUCUCUCUAUGAAUCUGUGCUUCGUUCCUGUGUAAGAAGGAAAUUCAUAGAAGUACCAGCUGUGACCUUUCAGGGGGGGCCUGACAAAUUGUGCCUCUUUGGCCAGCAUUGGGAGAGUCUAAUCUGGCACCUCUGAAAGACAGUCGGUUUUUGUUCUGUCACCGUAUCUUUCCCCAGCAAGGGCACAGAAUACAUAGAAAGUGUAAAGCUUCAGCGCCCAUUCAGCAGUUGCUGGCAGCUGCCAAGCAGCCCCCCAUGAAAUGAGGUUUCUUAACCUUCCACUGUAAUGAUUGUGCAUAAUAGCGAGGAGGUGAGUCCAUCAGGCACUGGAAUUCCCCAGCCCUCCUCUAUGUUAUAGGCCAAGUAGAUCAAAAUAGUAGCCACCAAGAUGAAACAAGCUGUGUCAAUAUUUGUUUUGUUAAACUGGCAGUGAGUGUAGAAAGUCUGCCAGCUCUGGGUCUCCCUUACAGAUGUUGUGAUGUGUUAUUCUGCAGAUUAAGAGUAAGCGUUAUCCCUCUCCAACCUGAUAUGUAAUAUGUCUAGCAACUAGCAAUUGAGGUUGCUGUCAGCCAGCCCUAUAUGCAUGAUUAUAUUAGGGAGGCAUUUGUAGCAACUUCAUAGUUAAAGCAGGAUUCAAAUCCUUCCGUUUCACACUUUCAUGGUGGAACUGUGUCUCCAAAUUUCCCCUGAACAGUCAUUGUGAUGCAAUUAAACUGUCUAGGACAUUUUCUGGAUAAAAUACUUGCCAAGCUUUGUUAG
Malaclemys terrapin pileata is the source of this 1357-nucleotide long non-coding RNA. RefSeq lists it as uncharacterized. Lineage: Eukaryota; Metazoa; Chordata; Testudines; Emydidae. The record is from RefSeq and is a predicted model, not a curated record. The transcript is spliced from 3 exons.